This 1320-nucleotide ribosomal RNA is filed under the name Triticum aestivum (bread wheat). Its description in RNAcentral is "partial small subunit ribosomal RNA". The record is from RNAcentral. Lineage: Eukaryota; Viridiplantae; Streptophyta; Magnoliopsida; Poales; Poaceae.
AUGGAGGCGACGGUGCUGAGCGUGGGCAAAUCGGCGGUGAGCGGAGCUCUUAGGUAUGCCCAAUCUGCCGUUGCAGAGGAGGUGGCGCUGCAGCUGGGAGUGCAGCGCGACCAGGCCUUCAUCAGGGACGAGCUCGAGAUGAUGCAAUCUUUCCUAAUGGUUGCUCACGACGAGCGAGACGACAACAGAUUGGUCAGGACCUGGGUGAAGCAGGUCCGCGACAUGGGCUACGACGUGGAGGACUGCCUCCAGGACUUUGCCGUUCGCCUCGAGGAGCCAUCCUGCUGGUGGCGCAUCCUGAGGACCCUGCUUGACCGGCGCCAUGUGGCCGUGCAGAUGAAGGACCUCCGAGCCAAGGUCGAAGAUGUCAGCCAGAGGAACCUGCGCUACCACCUCAUCAGGGGCCCUGCCGCUGGCCCAAAGUCCAUGGCUGCCGUCGCCGAGCAGUACUCUGCAGGCAGCAAGGCCAGUGCUACAAUGUUUGGCAUCGAGGAAGCAAGGCAUACCAUGAAGCCGAGGGUAGAUCUCGCCCAACUCAUCAACAAGGAGCCGGGCAGGGAUCAUAGAGUGAUAGCGGUGUGGGGAGCAGGUGGUGUUCUUGGUCAAGCUUCCGUGAUAAGGAGCGUGUAUGUUGAUUCAGAUAAGUUUGAAUGUCGUGCCUGGAUCAAGCUUACACAUCCUUUCGACCCGAUCGUAUUCAUGCAAAGCAUUAUGAGGCAGUUCUAUGGAUAUUCUUCUUCUUUUCCAGAAUUACCAGCUGAGGGACAGAGUUGUCAAGAAAGAGGGGGCACUAUAGGGGCUGAAGUUCUCAAGAAGAUGCUGAUGAUGAAGCGAGAAGAUUUGGUUGAUGAGUUCAAUGAGCAUGUGAACAACAAGAGUUACUUGAUUGUUCUUAACGACCUGUGUAGCCUAGAAGACUGGGACUGGAUUAGAACUUACUUUCCUGUCAACGGUAAUGGUAACCGGAUCAGUGUGGCCGCACAGCAAUUUGAAGUUGCAAACUUAUGUGUCGGUACAAAAUGCCAGGUCUCAGAGCUUAAACAAUUAGCUACUGACCAAACUCUCUAUGCUUUCUACCACAAGGGCCCUACAGAUGGAACAGACUCAAUGAAGCCAGAACCGAGCUCAAACAUGGCCAGUGCCGCUACUAACAGAUCUACAUCGCCCGAUCGUGAGAUAGCUGAUGAUCAAGAUAAAGAUGGUGCCCGCGGGAAGGACGAGGCCAGUGGGAGCCUCACUUGCAUCACGACGAUUACUGCUGCUUUGGAGGGAUCUCAGGUUUUGGAAGGGAGACAGAAAAAUGUCACAUCCUCCGAUUAA